This 470-nucleotide ribosomal RNA is filed under the name uncultured bacterium. RNAcentral's name for it is "partial 16S ribosomal RNA". It matches the Rfam family "Bacterial small subunit ribosomal RNA", at positions 28 to 507 of the family's 1533-position model. The record is from RNAcentral.
GACGAACGCUGGCGGCGUGCUUAACACAUGCAAGUCGAACGGUGAACGAGGGAGCUUGCUCCCUCCGGAUCAGUGGCGAACGGGUGAGUAACACGUGAGCAAUCUGCCCCGAACUCUGGGAUAAGCGUUGGAAACGACGUCUAAUACCGGAUACGACGCGGGAGGGCAUCCUCUCCGGGUGAAAAGAACUUCGGUUGGGGAUGAGCUCGCGGCCUAUCAGCUUGUUGGUGGGGUAACGGCUCACCAAGGCGACGACGGGUAGCCGGCCUGAGAGGGUGACCGGCCACACUGGGACUGAGACACGGCCCAGACUCCUACGGGAGGCAGCAGUGGGGAAUAUUGCACAAUGGGCGCAAGCCUGAUGCAGCAACGCCGCGUGAGGGACGACGGCCUUCGGGUUGUAAACCUCUUUUAGCAGGGAAGAAGCGAAAGUGACGGUACCUGCAGAAAAAGCACCGGCUAACUACGUG